GACGAACGCUGGCGGCGUGCUUAACACAUGCAAGUCGAACGGAAAGGCCCUGCUUUUGUGGGGUGCUCGAGUGGCGAACGGGUGAGUAACACGUGAGUAACCUGCCCUUGACUUUGGGAUAACUUCAGGAAACUGGGGCUAAUACCGGAUAGGAGCUCUUGCUGCAUGGUGGGGGUUGGAAAGUUUCGGCGGUUGGGGAUGGACUCGCGGCUUAUCAGCUUGUUGGUGGGGUAGUGGCUUACCAAGGCUUUGACGGGUAGCCGGCCUGAGAGGGUGACCGGCCACAUUGGGACUGAGAUACGGCCCAGACGCCUACGGGAGGCAGCAGUGGGGAAUAUUGCACAAUGGGCGGAAGCCUGAUGCAGCAACGCCGCGUGCGGGAUGACGGCCUUCGGGUUGUAAACCGCUUUCGCCUGUGACGAAGCGUGAGUGACGGUAAUGGGUAAAGAAGCACCGGCUAACUACGUG
Molecule: ribosomal RNA, 468 nt
Filed under: uncultured bacterium
Lineage: Bacteria
Description: partial 16S ribosomal RNA
Rfam family: Bacterial small subunit ribosomal RNA
Source: RNAcentral